GGGGGGGGGGGGGGGGGGGGUGGGCGGGGGGGAGGCGGGCGGGAAGGGCGUGGUGUUGGGGGGGGGUGGGGUGGGGGACGGGUGUGUGACAGGUGGGUAACGUGCGGUUGGAUGUGGGGUAACUUGAGGAGCGUUGGGGUAAAGCCGGCUCGGAGCUGGUGCUGGAGGGUGGGGGUUGGAACGUUUCGGUGGUUGGGGAUGGAGUUGCGGCUUAUCAUCUUGUUGGUAGGGUAGUGGCUUACCAAGGCUUUGAAGGGUAGGCGGCCUGAGGGGUUGACCGCACACAUUGGAACUGAGCUGCGGCCCAGACUCCUACGGUCGGCAGCAGUGGGGAAUAUUGCGCAAUGGGCGGAAGCCUGAUGCAGCAACGCCGCGUGCGGGAUGACGGCCUUCGGGUUGUAAACCGCUUUCGCCUGUGACGAAGCGUGAGUGACGGUAAUGGGUAAAGAAGCACCGGCUAACUACGUG
Molecule: ribosomal RNA, 468 nt
Filed under: uncultured bacterium
Lineage: Bacteria
Description: partial 16S ribosomal RNA
Rfam family: Bacterial small subunit ribosomal RNA
Source: RNAcentral